AUUGAACGCUGGCGGCAUGCUUUACACAUGCAAGUCGAACGGUAACAGGCCUUCGGGUGCUGACGAGUGGCGCACGGGUGGGUAAUGCAUCGGAACGUACCCAGAGGUGGGGGAUAACGCAGCGAAAGCUGUGCUAAUACCGCAUGUGAUCUGAGGAUGAAAGCGGGGGACCGAGCAGCAAUGUUUGGCCUCGCGCCUUUGGAGCGGCCGAUGUCGGAUUAGCUAGUUGGUGGGGUAAAGGCCUACCAAGGCGACGAUCCGUAGCUGGUCUGAGAGGACGACCAGCCACACUGGGACUGAGACACGGCCCAGACUCCUGCGGGAGGCAGCAGUGGGGAAUGUUGGACAAUGGGCGCAAGCCUGAUCCAGCAAUGCCGCGUGCGGGAAGAAGGCCUUCGGGUUGUAAACCGCUUUUGGCAGGAACGAAACGGUGUCCGCUAAUACCGGGCGCUAAUGACGGUACCUGCAGAAUAAGCACCGGCUAACUACGUG
Molecule: ribosomal RNA, 492 nt
Filed under: uncultured bacterium
Lineage: Bacteria
Description: partial 16S ribosomal RNA
Rfam family: Bacterial small subunit ribosomal RNA
Source: RNAcentral